Molecule: long non-coding RNA, 2467 nt
Filed under: Canis lupus familiaris (dog)
Lineage: Eukaryota; Metazoa; Chordata; Mammalia; Carnivora; Canidae
Description: lncRNA (ENSCAFG00000055468.1)
Source: RNAcentral
UUGAGCAGCUUGUAGAAGUUUAGUCAAAAAGACCAAAGCCCAUGUCAUCAUCAGACUCCUCAGAUUCUUCUUUCUUUGCUUCCACGUUUUCCUCCUUGGCUGGGGCAGCCGUGGUGGAAGGAGCAGGACCUCCUGCUGGUGCAGCGCCAGCUGCUGGGUUGGGUCCACCAGCUACUACAAUGCAGAUGAGGCUCCCAAUGUUCACGUUGGCUAGGGCCUUUGCAAACAAACCCGGCCAGAAAGGUUCAACAUUCACACCCGCUGUUUUAAUGAGGGCAUUGAUCUUAUCCUCCAUGACGAUCACCUCGUGGUCGUGCAGGAGGAGGGCUGAGGCCAUGCAGGUGAGCUCCAAGACAUAGGCCAUCGGGAGGGCCAGGGCUGAGCGGGCGCUGCCGGGUGUGGUGCUGGUCACCUGAUGAAGUGAGGGCCUCACCCCAACGCGGCCUUAACUUCCUCGGAAGGACCGAGCACCUUGGCGGCUCCUGAGGAAAGCUCUGGGGAUAUUUUUAAAGCAUAUUCUAAAGGUAUAUUCUAGUCCUUUGGCUAGAAAUUAGAUUUGGAAGUUUAAGAUCGAGGACCCAAACAAACUAGCCCAUGGUGGUCAAUGAGGCCAAACACCUUUAGGUUUAUAUAAUAUAACCCUCUGGUUUAUGCAUUUUGAUGUUCAGAAAGGUUCUUUGUACCCUCAGGACAUUCUGAUGACCCAGGGAAUCUUGCUCAUAUGUAGGAGGUUUUGAGAACUUAAAUCCAGCAAACUAUACUUUUUUUCUUUUUAACAAUAGAAAAGGAGUACAGAUUCUUAACUGAUCACAAAUAAAAUUAAGAAAUGAGAUUUUAAGUUGAUUUUAAAUUGAUCUAGUGGCAAGACUAUUAAUAAAUUCUCUCUCCUUUCCUAUCUCUUCUGCUCCCUCUGCUAAAUUAGCUCCAGUCACAAUUAGCCAUUGCUAUCUGGGUCCACAUUCACCAGAGAUUUUUUACUCCCUGAGAGUAGAGAGAGGUAAGGAUUAAGGUAAUUUCUCUUUCCAGAAUGAUGCAAUGAACAAGCCUGCCUUGGAGUCCAAUAAACUUGGGUUUAUAACCUGCUCUGACACUUGUUGGUAGUUUAACUUGGAGUAACUUAGUCUCAGUUUCUUUAUCUGUACAGUGGGAGCAAUAAAGCUGGCUCCCAUCUCCAAGAUUCUAAUUCUUUUGUUGGCUGCAGAUCCUUGGAAUUUUGUUAACAAUUGUUUGUUAUGAGGAUCAGAUGUAUGCAAAGUCCCAGAACAGUGCCUGGUACUAAGUCAGUGUUCAUUAAAUGUUCCUUUCCCUUCUCCUUUGAUGCUCUCUUCCCUAAUACCUUCCAUUCAUUUCCAUUCCAGAUCUCUGAUCAUGUUUUAUACAGGAAAUAUGUACAUAAAAAUUCUUGAUUUUAAAUGUGUAAACAUAUUCUAUGUACAUAUUCACUCAUUUGUUCAACAAAUAAUUACUGGGAAUCCAUUUGUGCCAGGCACUGUGAUAAACCAGUUAUACAAGUUCCCUGUUCUCAUAGAGCUCAUUCUCUAGUAGGGGGGUAUUCCCUGGGAUGAGAUAGGAAGCCACAGGUAUGGAGAAAAAGGACCAGAUGGACCAUUCAGCAAAGGCUUCUCUGGAAAGGACAGCUCUGAGGCCCAGAGGAUGAAGCAGAGCCAGCCACCAACUAGAGCACCCCAGGCAGAGGGCAUAGCAAGUGCAAAGCCCCGAGGGGGCGGGGACAGCUUGGUGCUUUUGAGAAACAGAAAGUGUCUGGUUCCAGGAGGGGUGGAAAUGAGAGGGGGAACAGCAGGGCACUGUUGGUCAUGGUGAGGUAUUGGGAUUGACAUGGGACACACUGGAGAUGCUGAAGCAGGGAAGGAAUGGGAUCUGAUUUAGGUUUAUUUAUUUAUUUUUUAAAAAUCUGAUUUAUUUAUUCAUGAGAGAGGCAGUGAGAGAGGCAUAGACACAGGCAGAGGGAGAAGCAGGCUCCCUGCAGGGAGCCUGAUGCGGGACUCUAUCCUGGGACCCCGGGAUCAUACACUGAGCCAAAGGCAAACAUUCAACCAUUGAGUCACCCAGGCAUCCCUGAUUUAGGUUUAAAAAGCACCACUCUGGCUGCUGUGCCUCAGAGUGAAUUACAGAAGGCCAGGAUGGAAGCAAGUCCACAUGACUACAUACACAUGAUACCAGGCAUGUGGACUCCUAGAGUUAGAAAGGAGGGCAGAGCGGCUCCAGCCCAGAGGUAUGGGAAUUCCUGGGGGUGAGGGCAGUCACCAGCCUGGGGAACUCUGGUCCUCACCCCCACUGGCACAUUACAAUCACCUGGAGGCAUGGUUAAAAUUCCAAGGAUCCACAGCCACUGCCAUGGGCCAAGAGAAUCAGAAUCUCAUAGAUGGGGGCUAGGCUUAUAGGAUUUUCUUUACAAAACUUCCUAGGAUAUUUUACACGCAACCAGAGGUGAGAAUCACUGGGUCAG